UAGGGAAUCUUCCACAAUGGACGCAAGUCUGAUGGAGCAACGCCGCGUGAGUGAAGAAGGUUUUCGGACCGUAAAGCCCUGUUGUUGGUGAAGAAGGAUAGAGGUAGUAACUGGCCUUUAUUUGACGGUAAUCAACCAGAAAGUCACGGCUAACUACGUGCCAGCAGCCGCGGUAAUACGUAGGUGGCAAGCGUUGUCCGGAUUUAUUGGGCGUAAAGCGAGCGCAGGCGGAAGAAUAAGUCUGAUGUGAAAGCCCUCGGCUUAACCGAGGAAUUGCAUCGGAAACUGUUUUCUUGAGUGCAGAAGAGGAGAGUAGAACUCCAUGUGUAGCGGUGGAAUGCGUAGAUAUAUGGAAGAAUACCAGUGGCGAAGGCGGCUCUCUGGUCUGCAACUGACGCUGAGGCUCGAAAGCAUGGGUAGCGAACAGGAUUAGAUACCCUGGUAGUCCAUGCCGUAAACGAUGAGUGCUAAGUGUUGGGAGGCUUCCGCCUCUCAGUGCUGCAGCUAACGCAUUAAGCACUCCGCCUGGGGGAGUACGACCGCAAGG
This 547-nucleotide ribosomal RNA is filed under the name uncultured bacterium. Its description in RNAcentral is "partial 16S ribosomal RNA". It matches the Rfam family "Bacterial small subunit ribosomal RNA", at positions 355 to 893 of the family's 1533-position model. The record is from RNAcentral.